This 428-nucleotide ribosomal RNA is filed under the name uncultured prokaryote. RNAcentral's name for it is "bacterial SSU rRNA". It matches the Rfam family "Bacterial small subunit ribosomal RNA", at positions 355 to 774 of the family's 1533-position model. The record is from RNAcentral.
UGGGGAAUUUUGCGCAAUGGGGGAAACCCUGACGCAGCAACGCCGCGUGGGUGAUGAAGGCCUUCGGGUCGUAAAGCCCUGUCGGGAGGGAAGAAAUGAUUGAGAGCUAAUACCUCUUGGUCUUGACGGUACCUCCGAAGGAAGCACCGGCUAACUCCGUGCCAGCAGCCGCGGUAAUACGGAGGGUGCAAGCGUUGUUCGGAAUUAUUGGGCGUAAAGCGCGUGUAGGCGGUCUUUUAAGUCUGAUGUGAAGGCCCCGGGCUCAACCUGGGAAGUGCAUUGGAUACUGGGAGACUUGAGUACGGGAGCGGAGAGUGGAAUUUCUAGUGUAGGAGUGAAAUCCGUAGAUAUUAGGAGGAAAACCGGUGGCGAAGGCGGCUCUCUGGACCGAUACUGACGCUGAGACGCGAAAGCGUGGGUAGCAAACA